UCUGGAUGCUUGCAUCCUUCCGAAAGGGGCAAUAAUACCGAAUGAUAUCAUAAAUCGUAAGAUUGAUGGUCAAAGAUUUAUCGGUUUGGGAGCGGCCUAUCUCCUAUCAGCUUGUUGGUGAGGUAAUGGCUCACCAAGGCAUCGACGGGUAGCGGGACUGAGAGGUUGGUCCGCCACAUUGGGACUGAGACACUGCCCAGACCCCCACGGGGGGCUGCAGUAACGAAUAUUGCACAAUGGACGAAAGUCUGAUGCAGCAAUGCCGCGUGUAGGAUGAAGCUUUUCGGAGUGUAAACUACUGUCAGGGGUUAGAAAGUCUUCGGAUUGAUCAGCCCCAGAGGAAGUCACGGCUAACUUCGUGCCAGCAGCCGCGGUAAUACGAAGGUGGCGAGCGUUGUUCGGAAUCACUGGGCUUAAAGCGCGCGUAGGCGGAAUAGAUAGUGUCUUGUGAAAUCCCCCGGCUUAACCGGGGAACUGCUUGGCAUACUGCUAUUCUUGAGGUAAGUAGGGGUACAUGGAACUCUUGGUGGAGCGGUGGAAUGCGUAGAUAUCAAGAGGAACGCCAAUGGUGAAGACAGUGUACUGGGCUUAUUCUGACGCUGAGGUGCGAAAGCGUGGGGAGCGAAAGGGAUUAGAUACCCCUGUAGUCCACGCCGUAAACGAUGUCUACUAGGUUGUGGAGGUUCUGACACCCUCACAGUCGAAGCAAAAGUGUUAAGUAGACCGCCUGGGAAGUACGGUCGCAAGGCUAAAACUCAAAGGAAUUGACGGGGGCUCACACAAGCGGUGGAGCAUGUGG
Molecule: ribosomal RNA, 799 nt
Filed under: uncultured Planctomycetota bacterium
Lineage: Bacteria; Pseudomonadati; Planctomycetota
Description: bacterial SSU rRNA
Rfam family: Bacterial small subunit ribosomal RNA
Source: RNAcentral